UGCUUGAAAGUACCUCUCUCAGGAAAGUGGUUCGAAUUAUGUAAUAAAAGUCAGAAAUUGUCUAAGGAGCUGAAUCACAGAGGUCAGGGAGCUGAAGAAUGUGGACAUGAUGGCAGAGAACACUGAUGUUAAUGUGACAGAAAACAACAGAAAGAGCAAAGACUAUCCUCCAGAGUGUGAGUCAUACAUUACCUGUAUUUAUGACAGGAUGCUCUGAAAUAUUCUUUUUCAACAGCACUGUGGUCUUUUCUUCUCUGCAAAUAAUCCUGUUUCAUAUGUAAGUCAUGAUUCACACUGUAAGUUUAGCCCAUAGUGAAAUAUUCUUGCAUAGUCCUGUGUCUUUUCUUUUCUUUUCUAGUCAGUCCCGAAAACACAUCAGUGCCAGUAACAGAAGCCAGUAUCUCAGAUGACUCAAGGUUGAAAUGUUGGUGUUCUGAGAUUUUCGGUCCAAACCAAAGACCGACGACGAUAUGGAGGGCAAGAUGGAGUGAGAGAACAUAUGAUGAAAUGUUACCUGAAAGAAAGACCUCCAGCAGCACCAUCAGUUCGUGUGACUCAGGAUAUGCUUCAAGAAAAUGCAAAGGUAUUUUCUCCAUCCCUGAAAAUGAUGCAAUAAGGCAACACCCACAAUUUGCAUUUAGUACGAUUUUUGUAAUCAGCAUUUUCCACAGAGAUUUUCACUCCCAAACAAAGACGGACGAUAUGCAGUGCAGGAUGGGAUGAGAGAACAUGAUGACAUGUUACCUGGAAGAACAACCUCUUCCAGCACCAACAAUUCAUUUGACUAAGGAUAUGCUUCAAGAAAAUGCACAUCCAUUUUCUCCAUCCCUGAAAAUGCCAAACAGAACAAACAAAACAAUGUGUCAACUACGAAUAAGACCAGCAGUAGAGACAAAGUUGAUUGUCCACUCCAGGUGCCACUAUGACCAGCCAUGAAUUGAGAGAUCACUUACAUACUGAAUCUUUAAAGAACAAUUUCUCAAUCAGUAAACAGUAAUGAGACUCUGUGAAUGUAGUCACGGCCCUGAUCAUAUUGUCCAGAAAUUAGUAAUUUGAGAGUCGACUUGGAGGAAAAGUGCAUACAGGCAUCUGAAGUGAAACAUUGCUAUAGUGUGCAAUGUAGAUCAUGCUGCAUGUCACACAAAAACACCCUUCUGUAGACCUUGUUUUACCUGCUGUGUUAGUGCAAGAGUGGAUAUAUUUGAAAGUACCAGUUGUAACUUAUCGGUUGUUUUUUUAUGUAAAUAUAUACUGUAUGUUUUGUCCACUGAAUACAAUUGCAGAAGAAUGGGGAUUUAGUUUUUUUUUUCCCUUAUGUUUUUGAACAGCUUGUCUAUUUUAUACAGUACUUUAUACAAUUAAAUGUAUUUCUGUCAGGACCACUGUCGUCAAAGAUGAUUGACAAUUAGCAUACAGUUUGGAUUGGCGGUAUGGUUCUGUUCUGGGCAAGAACUCCCUGCGCCUCCAUGCAGCCUUGCAUGGAUGAGAGCAGGGAGAGCUGCAAUAACCCCCCAGGGUAAACAGAACAGAACUAACAUAAAUGUAUUGCAGAUAUCGUUAAAGUUCAAUCAUUUUAUGUACACAUUUUAGAAUUAGUCUGAUUCAAGGAGAAUCAGAAGGCUGAAUCCUGACUGACAGAGGAGGAGUUGGGGAUGGAGGAGGGUAAUUAGCUAUUGAGCAAUGCAAAAACUGCUGAUAAUACUGAGGGACCUUAUAUAAGAAUGCUUAGAUAUGUGUCGUAUUCCCAUAGGUUGAUGGGGAUCAGCUGAGAGUCAGCUGAUGUGAGCUUGACUAACGUGACCUGCCAGAACUAACGCUACGCUUGAUUAUUAUUGCAUGUUUAAAUAUUUUCAGUGUAAAAGUCAUUAUUUUGACUAUAUUAUUUAAAAAAUAAACAAUAUAAACUGUAAACCUGU
This 1916-nucleotide long non-coding RNA is filed under the name Sinocyclocheilus anshuiensis. RNAcentral describes it as "lncRNA (ENSSANG00000031555.1)". Lineage: Eukaryota; Metazoa; Chordata; Actinopteri; Cypriniformes; Cyprinidae. The record is from RNAcentral.